AUUGCUUCUUGGCCUUUUGGCUAAGAUCAAGUGUAGUAUGAUGUGCUUGUGUGAAAGGAAUAUCCUUAUUUACCCUUU
Oryctolagus cuniculus (rabbit) is the source of this 78-nucleotide small nuclear RNA. Its record names the gene U2. It matches the Rfam family "U2 spliceosomal RNA". From Rfam's summary of the family: U2 is a small nuclear RNA (snRNA) component of the spliceosome (involved in pre-mRNA splicing). Complementary binding between U2 snRNA (in an area lying towards the 5' end but 3' to hairpin I) and the branchpoint sequence (BPS) of the intron results the bulging out of an unpaired adenosine, on the BPS, which initiates a nucleophilic attack at the intronic 5' splice site, thus starting the first of two transesterification reactions that mediate splicing. Lineage: Eukaryota; Metazoa; Chordata; Mammalia; Lagomorpha; Leporidae. The record is from Ensembl.